RNAcentral lists this ribosomal RNA (253 nucleotides) under uncultured bacterium. RNAcentral describes it as "partial 16S ribosomal RNA". It matches the Rfam family "Bacterial small subunit ribosomal RNA", at positions 524 to 776 of the family's 1533-position model. The record is from RNAcentral.
UACGUAGGGUGCGAGCGUUAAUCGGAAUUACUGGGCGUAAAGUGUGCGCAGGCGGCCGCGCAAGUCGAGUGUGAAAGCCCCGAGCUUAACUUGGGAACUGCGCUCGAAACUACGUGGCUGGAGUGUGGCAGAGGAAGGUGGAAUUCCAGGUGUAGCGGUGAAAUGCGUAGAGAUCUGGAGGAACACCGAUGGCGAAGGCAGCCUUCUGGGCCAACACUGACGCUCAUGCACGAAAGCGUGGGGAGCCAACAGG